Non-coding RNA from Populus trichocarpa (black cottonwood), 120 nucleotides. The record is from Rfam. NCBI's taxonomy places the organism in Eukaryota, Viridiplantae, Streptophyta, Magnoliopsida, Malpighiales, Salicaceae.
UUGUCUGUUUGGGUCAGAUCCCCUUCUAUUAGUGUCAGAUCAUCACUCGAAUGCUCAAAAACUUCAGUCUCUACAAGUUUGACUACAUUACAAAUACUAGCUAUUUAACUCAACCAUUGA